AUUAAUGAUUAAUAAAUGCACCAUAACAUUUAGUACACCAAUAGACAAUAUAGGACUCUUGUGAUGAUAACAUUUUGUGUAAUGCUAAAAACAAUUUUCUUGGGAUUUUUAUUUAUAUUUACACAGACUGAAUUUGUGCACCUGCAGUCCUUUUUUUCAUUGUGCCAGAAGGGUCAAAGAUGAGCUUUUUUCAUGCUACGCAAUCAACUUUGCAAUGUGAUUAUAAUGGGGAUGAUGUCAAGGCAGAAGUAUAAAGGACUGGAAAAGGACUGGACUAGAGAGCCCCAAGCACAGACCAAUUACAAACAAGGACAUGCUUAGUAAAAUAACCAUACUUCAUUUUCAAUAGGCUGUUUUAUUGCCAAUUUCUUGUUUAGUCUGUGUUGCUGCUUUAAAUUACAAAAUACAAACUUUGCAGAAAAGAA
Long non-coding RNA from Xenopus laevis (African clawed frog), 425 nucleotides. RefSeq lists it as uncharacterized. The record is from RefSeq and is a predicted model, not a curated record. NCBI's taxonomy places the organism in Eukaryota, Metazoa, Chordata, Amphibia, Anura, Pipidae. The transcript is spliced from 2 exons.